Molecule: long non-coding RNA, 771 nt
Organism: Hyalella azteca
Lineage: Eukaryota; Metazoa; Arthropoda; Malacostraca; Amphipoda; Hyalellidae
Exons: 4
Source: RefSeq, a predicted model, not a curated record
AGAGAAACAUAUCCACAGUUGGCUGCUCCAUGACGCCACGAACUACACCCUGGACUCCGCAAUGUGCUAUUGGCAUGUAGUGAACUCCUGUGGCGACUGGAGCACAAGUUGCAAGAAUAUGGUGUCGUCGCUCAGAUACGCCGGCAGUCCGCACGGCCUCAACAACGACUAUUACAAUCUGUAUGAAGGCACGUCCUACCGCGGAUAGGAGUUCAGAGGCGAUGAGGACGCCGCGCAAUUGGGCGACUUGGAUCUGGCCGUCUCGUCCCUGAUAGUGACUGGCCAGGCCCCGUGGACCUUCUAUUCAGGCCUGGACUUCACUCGCGCCACCGUCUGCGUGUACGCCGAUCAUACAACCACCAACGGCGGCAUUGACCUCGACUACGCAAGCAUCGCAAAUGUGAGCGAGCUCGGCCUGCCCGACAACUCCAUCAGGUCCGUGGCGCGCGGCUGCUUCAGCGAGCGCGUGGUGGGCGCUGCGCCGCGCAGCCACGCCGGCGGAGAACACGUCCAGCAGGACGCUAACUGAACUGAGGUGCCUCUGUGCCUUGUACCAAUACAUGCAUUUCCGGAAUUAACAGAUGUAUAUGCAUACAUUUUUCUCGUUUACUGCAUGAAGAAGAGUGGCGUGUUCUUUGUACUCAUCGAGACAGCAUUUGUGUGACGAUCUCGCUCCUUGCCCGUUAUUUCUUUAAGGUGGCCUGUAGUUUGUUGUACAAUGUCUUUUAGCUUUCCUUUUGUGACAAUUCCUAAAUAAUACUGCUGAGAAUA